This 235-nucleotide ribosomal RNA is filed under the name uncultured bacterium. Its description in RNAcentral is "partial 16S ribosomal RNA". It matches the Rfam family "Bacterial small subunit ribosomal RNA", at positions 96 to 334 of the family's 1533-position model. The record is from RNAcentral.
CGGCGGACGGGUGAGUAACGCGUAGGAAUCUGCCCAGUAGAGGGGGAUAGCCCGAGGAAACUCGGAUUAAUACCGCAUACGCCCUAAGGGGGAAAGCAGGGGAUCUUCGGACCUUGCGCUAUUGGAUGAGCCUGCGUUGGAUUAGCUAGUUGGUAGGGUAAAGGCCUACCAAGGCGACGAUCCAUAGCUGGUCUGAGAGGAUGAUCAGCCACACUGGGACUGAGACACGGCCCAG